This 253-nucleotide ribosomal RNA is filed under the name uncultured bacterium. RNAcentral describes it as "partial 16S ribosomal RNA". It matches the Rfam family "Bacterial small subunit ribosomal RNA", at positions 524 to 776 of the family's 1533-position model. The record is from RNAcentral.
GACGUAGGGGGCCAGCGUUGCUCGGAAUAACUGGGCGUAAAGGGUUCGUAGGCGGUGUGGCAAGUCGGGAGUGAAAUCCUGAGGCUUAACUUCAGGACUGCUUCCGAAACUGCCAUGCUCGAGUGCGGGAGAGGCGAGUGGAAUUGCAGGUGUAGCGGUGAAAUGCGUAGAUAUCUGCAGGAACACCAGUGGCGAAGGCGGCUCGCUGGACCGCAACUGACGCUGAGGAACGAAAGCUAGGGGAGCAAACAGG